This 468-nucleotide ribosomal RNA is filed under the name uncultured bacterium. RNAcentral describes it as "partial 16S ribosomal RNA". It matches the Rfam family "Bacterial small subunit ribosomal RNA", at positions 28 to 507 of the family's 1533-position model. The record is from RNAcentral.
GACAAACGCUGGCGGCGUGCUUAACACAUGCAAGUCGAACGGAAAGGCCCUGCUUUUGUGGGGUGCUCGAGUGGCGAACGGGUGAGUAACACGUGAGUAACCUGCCCUUGACUUUGGGAUAACUUCAGGAAACUGGGGCUAAUACCGGAUAGGAGCUCCUGCUGCAUGGUGGGGGUUGGAAAGUUUCGGCGGUUGGGGAUGGACUCGCGGCUUAUCAGCUUGUUGGUGGGGUAGUGGCUUACCAAGGCUUCGACGGGUAGCCGGCCUGAGAGGGUGACCGGCCACAUUGGGACUGAGAUACGGCCCAGACUCCUACGGGAGGCAGCAGUGGGGAAUAUUGCACAAUGGGCGGAAGCCUGAUGCAGCAACGCCGCGUGCGGGAUGACGGCCUUCGGGUUGUAAACCGCUUUCGCCUGUGACGAAGCGUGAGUGACGGUAAUGGGUAAAGAAGCACCGGCUAACUACGUG